Molecule: unclassified non-coding RNA, 514 nt
Filed under: Hevea brasiliensis (rubber tree)
Lineage: Eukaryota; Viridiplantae; Streptophyta; Magnoliopsida; Malpighiales; Euphorbiaceae
Source: RNAcentral
AAAGAAAAAAAAGAAAAAAAGCUUUUCUUAAUAAUGCACGACCAUAACAAAUUUAUUAUCCGUAAAACCAGACUUGAAACACCAUUAAGAAUCAGAUACCCAAGAAGACAGGCAAAAGAAUGCAAACGUUCCACUGAAUUAUUAAUUUUCUAUCAUCUACACUUAAUAGUGGUUGGAAUUCUGAUGCAUUGCCAUUAGACAAAGAUGAAUACUAUGAAAAAUGGAUGAAAUAUCAUUUUUUAAAAUAAAAUUUGAAAAUGAAAUGGAAAAUUACAACCAAGAAAGCAGGAAGAUGAUUAAGUUCAAACAUCAAAGCAAUAAGAACUACGUGGCCUUACAGCGAAAGAACUGAAAUUGGUUAUGGAUGACUAAGGCUGGUGGCCAGCGCUCUUGAUUCGCGACAGGCAGUAGCCGGCGAGACACAGGGAGGUGGCGAUUUUCCGAAUGGGAACAGAGAAAUCGAAAGAGAGAGAUGGUUUUGGAAAAUCAAAAAAUUAGGGUUUUGGGGUCUGGC